Lontra canadensis (Northern American river otter) is the source of this 360-nucleotide long non-coding RNA. RefSeq lists it as uncharacterized. NCBI's taxonomy places the organism in Eukaryota, Metazoa, Chordata, Mammalia, Carnivora, Mustelidae. The transcript has 4 exons. The record is from RefSeq and is a predicted model, not a curated record.
CUGACUUUGCAGCAGUCUGCCCACCUGACGGUCAGGAACAGCUUCCUGGUGGGACUACAGACAAUGGUAGAAAGAUGGCUCUGUUGAGAUGAGCUCUUAAUUAAUGCACUGAGAGCUUACGAGUCCCACCUCUCAACAGGAAUGAUUGACGUCCAAGGAUACAUAAAUUACACUAAUUGAGCUCUGCCUCCAUACAGGCUUUCCACAGCCAACUCAUCAGAGAAGCUAGGUUUGUAAGACAACCAGCGUCUUUGCUUGGCAACGCUAAUGAGUGAUCUGAUACAAAAUUGAAGGAGAAUACACCUUUUUGAAUUCCUGCCCUUCUAAGACAAAGGGAUUUGGAAUUUCUGCACAACCAAG